Molecule: long non-coding RNA, 331 nt
Organism: Drosophila pseudoobscura
Lineage: Eukaryota; Metazoa; Arthropoda; Insecta; Diptera; Drosophilidae
Exons: 2
Source: RefSeq, a predicted model, not a curated record
CGAGCAAGCGAUACAUUUACUAUCAGUGGAAACGAAACAAAAUUUCAAAAUAUGUUUGGCGAUAUUGCUAUUUUAAUAAUUCUCGUAUUUAUAAUGCUAAUACAUAUAUGCCUGACCUUCUGACUUCACUGACUGCCUAUGCAGGUGUUUUCUAAUUGCACAAUUCCCUUUUCAUUGCCUAUCUAGAUUUCCAUACGUACCCAAGGUGAAAGACUCAAGCUUAGGACUGCGUGGCAGCCGGUGUGACCAGAUGUGCAUGCUCUACGGUUACACUGUUAUGUAUUUGCUCACAAAUAAAACCAGUUUAAAUUCAAAUAUUGUAUGAAAAGAA